AGUCGAGCGAAGCACUUUGCUUAGAUUCUUCGGAUGAAGAGGAUUGUGACUGAGCGGCGGACGGGUGAGUAACGCGUGGGUAACCUGCCUCGUACAGGGGGAUAACAGUUAGAAAUGACUGCUAAUACCGCAUAAGACCACAGCACCGCAUGGUGCAGGGGUAAAAACUCCGGUGGUAUGAGAUGGACCCGCGUCUGAUUAGCUAGUUGGUAAGGUAACGGCUUACCAAGGCGACGAUCAGUAGCCGACCUGAGAGGGUGACCGGCCACAUUGGGACUGAGACACGGCCCAAACUCCUACGGGAGGCAGCAGUGGGGAAUAUUGCACAAUGGGGGAAACCCUGAUGCAGCGACGCCGCGUGAGCGAAGAAGUAUUUCGGUAUGUAAAGCUCUAUCAGCAGGGAAGAAAAUGACGGUACCUGACUAAGAAGCACCGGCUAAAUACGUGCCAGCAGCCGCGGUAAUACGUAUGGUGCAAGCGUUAUCCGGAUUUACUGGGUGUAAAGGGAGCGUAGACGGAUGGGCAAGUCUGAUGUGAAAACCCGGGGCUCAACCCCGGGACUGCAUUGGAAACUGUUCAUCUAGAGUGCUGGAGAGGUAAGUGGAAUUCCUAGUGUAGCGGUGAAAUGCGUAGAUAUUAGGAGGAACACCAGUGGCGAAGGCGGCUUACUGGACAGUAACUGACGUUGAGGCUCGAAAGCGUGGGGAGCAAACAGGAUUAGAUACCCUGGUAGUCCACGCCGUANACGAUGACUACUAGGUG
RNAcentral lists this ribosomal RNA (762 nucleotides) under uncultured bacterium. Its description in RNAcentral is "bacterial SSU rRNA". It matches the Rfam family "Bacterial small subunit ribosomal RNA", at positions 60 to 822 of the family's 1533-position model. The record is from RNAcentral.